AACGCUUCUACUAGCAUUUUGUUUCGUUCGUUAUUUUUUUCACGUCUACACUGUGCACGAGUUUCAUCACCGUCAUCAUCAGUGCGGAAAGGAGGGGCACUGCAGACAGAACUUCUGAGCUCCAUUAGAGAGGACCAGACGGAUCUCCAAGCCCUGGAACUGGGAAUUCAAACUGUCCCGCGCAGGGGAAGGGACAAAUCGCUCUCAGGAAACAAAAGAUCUUUCGAGACAGACCGGAUCACUGACUCUUCGUUUAGGUGACUCACAGGAUGGUGUCCAAGAGGAGACAGAAAUACUCUGACAGUUGAAGACACAGGCCUCUGUAACCCAUAUUCAUGGAUCUGUUGCUCCUUGGUCUCGAUGAGAUAGGGGCACUGGGAAACAAACAGCACCCCAGUGCCUUUGAGCAGGAGAAUAAAAUGCCCCAAAGGAAA
Ornithorhynchus anatinus (platypus) is the source of this 434-nucleotide long non-coding RNA. RefSeq lists it as uncharacterized. Lineage: Eukaryota; Metazoa; Chordata; Mammalia; Monotremata; Ornithorhynchidae. The transcript is spliced from 3 exons. The record is from RefSeq and is a predicted model, not a curated record.